This is a small nuclear RNA of Magnolia sinica, 127 nucleotides long. The record is from RefSeq and is a predicted model, not a curated record. Lineage: Eukaryota; Viridiplantae; Streptophyta; Magnoliopsida; Magnoliales; Magnoliaceae.
GUGUUGAUUGAAAGGAGAGAUGGUUGGGGCAUCUCUCCUGACAGGGACAGGAACAUCCUUCGGUCUUACCUAUUACCACACAUACGGUUAAGGCUUCCCACUUAGGUGGAUCUUGCCCAAUUUUACU